CAAUAGCGUAUAUUAAAGCUGUUGCGGUUAAAAAGCUCGUAGUUGGAUUUCUGUCAAGGACAACUGGUCCGCCCCUCGGGUGAGCACAUAGUUUGGUCUUGGCAUCUUGUUGGAAACUGUUGCUGCACUUGGUUGUGUGGCGCAGUGUCUAGCACUUUCACUUUGAGGAAAUUGGAGUGUUUCAAGCAGGCACAUGCCUUUGGACACAGUAGCAUGGAAUAAUUAGAUUGGGCUUUUGCUCCAACUUGUCGGUUUCUGGAGCUGAGGUGAGAAUUAAUGGGGAUUGUUGGGGGCAUCCGAAUUUAGCCGUCAGAGGUGAAAUUCUUGGAUCUGCUAAAGACGGACAACUGCGAAAGCGUUUGCCCAGGAUGUUUUCAUUGA
This 381-nucleotide ribosomal RNA is filed under the name uncultured eukaryote. Its description in RNAcentral is "partial 18S ribosomal RNA". It matches the Rfam family "Eukaryotic small subunit ribosomal RNA", at positions 592 to 976 of the family's 1831-position model. The record is from RNAcentral.